This 840-nucleotide ribosomal RNA is filed under the name uncultured bacterium. Its description in RNAcentral is "bacterial SSU rRNA". It matches the Rfam family "Bacterial small subunit ribosomal RNA", at positions 70 to 887 of the family's 1533-position model. The record is from RNAcentral.
GAAAGCCCGCAAGGGUGAGUAAAGCGGCGCACGGGUGCGUAACACGUGGGUAAUCUGCCCUAGAGUCCGGAAUAACUCGCCGAAAGGCGUGCUAAUGCCGGAUGAGACCACGGGAGCCUCGGCUCCUGGGGGAAAAGGUGGCCUCUGUAUACAAGCUAUCGCUCUAGGAUGAGCCCGCGGCCCAUCAGCUCGUUGGCGGGGUAAUGGCCCACCAAGGCUACGACGGGUAGCUGGUCUGAGAGGACGAUCAGCCACACUGGAACUGAGACACGGUCCAGACUCCUACGGGAGGCAGCAGUGGGGAAUCUUGCGCAAUGGGCGAAAGCCUGACGCAGCAACGCCGCGUGUGUGAUGAAGGUCUUCGGAUCGUAAAGCACUGUCGCGAGGGACGAAUAAGGGGCGGGCUAACAUCCCGUUCCGAUGACGGUACCUCGAGAGGAAGCACCGGCUAACUCUGUGCCAGCAGCCGCGGUAAUACAGAGGGUGCAAGCGUUGUUCGGAAUUAUUGGGCGUAAAGCGCGUGUAGGCGGCCUUGCAAGUUGGGUGUGAAAGCCCUCGGCUUAACCGAGGAAGUGCGCCCAAAACUACGAGGCUUGAGUGCCGGAGAGGGUGGCGGAAUUCCCGGUGUAGAGGUGAAAUUCGUAGAUAUCGGGAGGAACACCAGUGGCGAAGGCGGCCACCUGGACGGUAACUGACGCUGAGACGCGAAAGCGUGGGGAGCAAACAGGAUUAGAUACCCUGGUAGUCCACGCUGUAAACGAUGAGCGCUAGGUGUUGUGGGUGUUGACCCCCGCAGUGCCGCAGCUAACGCAUUAAGCGCUCCGCCUGGGAAGUACGGCC